GGGCUGCUGGCGCAACGGUAGCGCGUUCGACUCCAGAUCGAAAGGUUAUCCGUUCAAAUCGGGUGUGGCUCA
Molecule: transfer RNA, 72 nt
Organism: Colletotrichum fioriniae PJ7
Lineage: Eukaryota; Fungi; Ascomycota; Sordariomycetes; Glomerellales; Glomerellaceae
Rfam family: tRNA
About the family: Transfer RNA (tRNA) molecules are approximately 80 nucleotides in length. Their secondary structure includes four short double-helical elements and three loops (D, anti-codon, and T loops).
Source: Rfam